This 1626-nucleotide long non-coding RNA is filed under the name Equus caballus (horse). RNAcentral describes it as "lncRNA (ENSECAG00000057650.1)". The record is from RNAcentral. Lineage: Eukaryota; Metazoa; Chordata; Mammalia; Perissodactyla; Equidae.
UGAGACCCAAUAGGGGAGGACGAGUGUGUCACGUGAAGAUCUGGGGAACAGCGUUCCGGGCAGAGGGAACUGCCUUCGCGAAAGCCUUGAGGUGGGAAAGAGCUUGGCUCGUUCACAGAAGAGAAUGGAGAGCAGCGGGGCUGGAUCAGAGCGAACGCAUCAGAAGGGAACAGGGGACGAGAUCAGAGCUGUAGGAGGAACCAUAAGGACGCAGUGCCUGGUCAGCCCUCAGGGCUGAAGACUUGUCAUGAGGGUCAAAUGAGCUCCCAUGUGCCUCACAGGCAUGACCCACUUUAUCAGCCCAGGAAACAGUCACAUCGCUUACUUUUCCAAUUAAUUGCAUGCCUUCCCACUAUGCUCACAGGAGCAAGAAGUCUCUAUCACCUUCUAGGUUUCCCUUCCCAUGGUCCAAAUAUCCUGAAGAUUUAGUUAAUCUGAAGGUCGCUUCCACACUCCAGGCAGAGAGAAACCUCAGAAGUUCGAAUCACUCACUGGUCGCCCCAUUUUCAUCUCCCCCAUCCCCAAGGCUGCCACAAGGUGUCGCUGUUGAAAGCCAGUUGGGGUGCCUCUGCCUGCCGCUGUGACCACGCCCAGAGUCCAGUCCCUAUAAAGGACACACUGAUCCUCCUCCACUCUUCAGCUCCCAGGUGCCAGCUCUUUGAACUUACAGGCAAACACUCCAACCUGUCAUCGCAUUCCCCUCCAGGGUCCUAUCCCGCAGACCUGAGUGAGAAGCAUCUCAAUCUAUUCUUAGGCUCUUGUCAAGCUGGGUCGACAGCUGGACCACACCCUCUCCUUUGGGGUAAUUCUGUUUCCGGUUUUGUUUCCCUUCUCCACCAUUAGGAAUCAGCUUGGAAUAUUCCCAUCCACCCAAACAGAUCUCCAGGUCUUAAAAAGAAGGACUGAGAGGGGAAUGAGCAGUAACUGAUUUUAAUGACUGCGUCUGUGAGGCUCUUACUCCAUGCCUAGCCGUAUGUGGAGCAGCAUAAAUACAUAGUUAUAUCUAUCUAGCCAUCUAUCUGUCCGCCUCUCUGUCUAUUCUUUUAAUCAUUGCCACAUCAUCCCAUUUUCCAGAUGAGGACACUGAGACACAGGGACAUUAAAAUUCUUGCCUAAGAUUGCACGCAAAGAAGUAACAGAAGCAUGAUUCGAGACUACGCCGUCUGACAAGAGAGCCCGAGCUUUUAAGCACCAUGCUAUCCAGCCCCCCGAUCUGCUUCCUACUGGAGAAUUAUCUGAGUUCUUGAUGCAAAUUGAUGCCCCUUCCCCCCCAGGAGUCUUUUCGGGCACCAGAGACCUUAAAGUGGCAGCUUGUUCAGAAUAAGACGCGACAACCAAACGCCAUGCAGGAUCCCGGACCGGAACCUUUACAGAAGACACUAUUGGGAUAGUCAGAGAAAGUUGAACGGGGUCUACAGAUGAGAUGAUGGACCAGUGGCUAGCUAAGGGAGGUGGUUCUCGUGCAGAAGGCAGAAGCACAAGAGGGCAAGCCACAUCACACAAGCACCUCUCAGGCACCUGCUCGGGUGAGGUCCUCUCAUAGACCAUUGGCCAAAGAAAGUCACGUGGCCUCACCGAACAUCAAUGAGACUCAUUGCCACAGAAAGAUGAGAGCAGCUAAGUGCA